AAAACUUGCUUUUAAUAUUUUAAACUCUUCAAAACUCCUCUUCUUUCAAGUUUUCUUGUGAGACUUUCCGAUAAUUUCGUGAGAGUUUAUUGUUGGUCGAAAAUUUUAUGAUGGUUGGUUACUUUUUCCUUCCAACCCACGACGUCUCGAUUUCAUACUUAUGUAUAGGUAUCGUUCUUUAUUCCAAAUACUACAUUUUUUUUUCUUUCUUUAUGCUACCAUUUGUUUUAUGGAUUCUCCAUGUUCUCGGGUUGUUUUUUACUCUAGGGGUUCUUGCUCCUCUGAAUAUCCCGGUGGUUUUAGAGGUGUUGCCUCCAGCGUCUCCAUAGGAUCGACUAGUGCCACCUUUGAUGAUGGUGACUUUGCCAUUUCUCCACCUUUUCUCCUAUUUUUGUCCCUUCCCAAAACUUUGAAAGGGACUAUGUGGAGGGAUUUGGAUUGAGUGCAAUCAGUACAUCUUGAUCGAAUGUCAUUGAUUGCAGUCAAACCCUGCCGACUAGUGGCGGAUGGAGAGGGGGGGCCUUUGGAAGCCAUGAUCCCCCCCCCCCCCUAUAUUUUUAAUAAAAAAAUUUAUAUACUAUAAUGAGACUAUAUUAGAAUGUUUCAUAAAAUAUAUAUUAGGUUAUGGCCCCCUCAAUUAAUUUAAUUCAAAUGUUCACCAUAAUAUUAGAUUAUUUGACAACUAAUAUCAUUAGUUUUAUAUAUUAUAUUAUUUUAAAUUAUCUCAUAUGGUCCUUUCCACAACAUAUUUUAAAUGGAAUGAAACACAAUGAUAUAGCUUUGCAAAAUAAAAUACUAUUUUAAAGCAAAAAAUGAGCAAAUUAAAACCUAAAAUAAAAAUAGGGGGAUAAAAUAUAAUUUACUCCUUAAUGGAUUCUAUUCUCCUGUGACAAAAAACUCAUGUCUUUCACACUCGUACAAAAGUUCUUCUAUAUAGUCAGUCGUCGUUCUCCCUUUAUAUUAACCCUUCGAUUCUCAAGAUAAAACAGUCAUGGUGAUUCGGAGUUCAUCCGAGAGGUAACUAAAGUUUGGCAAAAAAUUGUUCUGCUCAAGAAUCAAACUCGGGUUAUCCUGAAUAAUUUGACAUUUACUAAAAACACAUUUAACCCUAGAACAUAUACAUUAUUAGUUUUCUCUUUUUAUACAAGGGUGUUUUUGUUUUCUUUUCCUACUUAAUGUUUUUUUUCUCUAUUAUUAAGUCAAUACUUGUAUGAUAACUGUACAUACCUAUUAAUGUCUCUCAUACUAAUUAAAUAUAGUUAUAAAUUUCUUUAAAAAACAAGAAAAUAUUAGUUUAUGCCUUUAGGGUUUCUUAUACAUCUUUUGUAUUUAAAAAAUUAUUUUAAAUCAAAUUAUGUUCCUUAUUUGCUAAAAAGAAUGUCUCUUGUAUUCGACCUCCCUAACUUUAAAUUCCUGGCUCCGUCCAUGCUCCCGACUACACACAAACUGAGUGGUGUUAUCUCCUCGACAGGCGCUCAUAGAUUGUGAGGUUUGAAGGCAACACUUGAGGGAUACUUAUCUUCCUCAGGAUGGAUUAUGAGAGAAAUGUUGAAUGGGCUCAUGUUCCUCUUUACGUCGAAAUAAAAUGCAUAAAUACUUGGUUUUAUCCAAGGUAAGCCUCAAAACACAUACAUCAAAUUCUCACUAUUUGGUUCAUAAAGUCAUACAACAAUUUUAUUUUAUUUUUUGGUCAAGUUUUGUUGUCAUACAACAAUAUUUUAAUUGUAACAUGUUGAAUAUAAACACAUAAAACUUAAUUAUCUACAAACACAAUAUAAUUGGCAUAGACUAUGAUACUAAUUGUUGAAAUUUCUUUAGGCUCCAAGAAGAACAAUAUCAAGUUGAUACUAAGAAUCUUCAAUUUUAUUACCAAUCAACAAAAUUCAUCUCUACAAAAUCCAAAAAAUAUGGCAAUGAUAGUUUAUAUCAAUCUAUUUGACGCCUCUCUCUCUUAGACUUUGCUCUCUCCAUCUUCAACAUUUCUAGCAAGAAAUCACUCCAUGUAUCUAUAGGCCCUGGCAAACACCAAUGAACACAAUCAUUAUACAAUGUCACAUUUUCUUGAGGUAAAUGUCCAUACCUACUUGGAUGACCAUCUGGUCUCAAUAACAUAGCUUGAGUUGUAUCAAGCAACCUAAAUUUCAAACCAUUUCUCUUGGCCUUCUUUUGAGAAAUUUUGUACUCUUCCAAUUGGAUCAUAUAUAACUCCAUAUUGGUCCCUUCUAACCUUGCCUCAUUACUCUUAAAUGGCUUAGUCCUUAAACAAUUCCCACCUUGGUUCCAUAUACCAUUCUCAAAAUGUGAUGGUGCAAAUGUCCUAAGAAAUGUCACACCCUUAAAAUUUUCUAAGCUAUUUAAGGCUCUAAAUGCAGUCCUAAAAGCUUUUCUAUAGCCAUAAUACAUUGUUAAAUCAGUGACAUUUUCUAAGAGACAAUAAUGACAUCCAACAAUUUUUCCUUUCUCAUAGAAUACCAUUGGCUUGUAGAACCAAUGUCCUCCAUUGAUUAUGACAUAGUCAAAAUCUUCAAUUUGUGAUGUCCAUUUUUCAUCAAAUUCAUCUAGGUAAAGAUUGUAGAGACCAGUGUGGGUUGGACCAUCUGAAUUUUCUCUUUGAGCUUUGACAAGAAAGGGGGUCCAAUAAGCAGCCAUGGUGAAAUUGUAACUUGGGUAUUUCCAUCUCAUGAAAUAGUCAUCUUUUGUGUAUGAUACAUCUAUAGGCCAUUCCACCUAGAAAAAGUUAAAUGGUCUAAGAUUUAGAAAAUUAUUUAUCAAUAAAAAAAUAUAAAAACAUAGAAGCACGCACAAUUUUAAAUAAGGGAAAUGUUAAUGAGUGCUUAUGGGGCACUCUUUAAACAUCUUUAAUAGUAGUAGUAAGUUUUUAUAAAAAUCAGUGUAAUUAAUGCAUUGAAAUUUAUAACAUUUGACUUUUUUAAGGAAUACUUUCUAAAUUUAGAAUAUUUAAAGAGUGUCCUAGAUACAUUACCCUUUUAAUAAAAUGAAGUUAAAGAUGAAACUAUGCAAUAAGAGUUUUUCUUGCCUAUAAAGUCUCAAAUAAUUCAGAGGGUCAUGGGUCUUUCAUCUUUGGAUUGUAUUCUAGUGGAAAUUAUUCAAUAUUCGCAUGAAAACAAGAAGUUAAGCCCAGAGGAAAUAAUUAAAUUAGUUGGAUUGUCACACCACAUGUUAGCAUCAUGCUGUUAUUGUACCUUGUCAUUGGUUAGAUAUUGAAAACUAUUUCAUUGUCAACUUAACCUUUUGCAUUUAGUAAAAAAAAAAAAAAAAGGAAAUUUUGUCUUGGUUUGAGAUCGGAAUGUCAAGAAUCGAACCUACAACAACUAGUUCAAAAUCCGACCUAUGCAUAUAUUAUACAUUGUCCCUACCAACUGAGCUAAGUUCACGGUGACAGCCGAUUAAAAACUUAAGUGCAAUCAUUUUGUUAUAGUAUAAAAUAGUUUUAUCAAAAACUGAUUUAAUUGGCUAAAUGGACUUGUGUUUUUCUGACUAAAGUUUGACUAGUGAGUAGUGAGUAUAUUUUAUGAGUUGGAGGCUUCAACUUUGGAUACACUAAUUAAUUAUAAACACUAUAUUUACAAGUAACUCGAAAAUAAAGAAAACCAAGAACUGAAUUUAAUUAAUAAAAUAAAUAAAAAGUGACUUGAGACUGUGUUCUUGUGGCCUGGUUAGGGACAUGGAAUGUGAUUGCCAGAGUUUACAUCUCGUGCUAAGAUUCCACUUCUUGUGGCAUGCUUUGCUUAAUUACUGAGAUAAUUUAUGUGGUUGGACAGAUUUUGUUAUAUUUGUUUUAUGUUUAUAUAAUAUUUUAUGAAUAAGUUUGUGAAAACUAUAGUUUUAAACAUGUAAAGUCUAAAUAAAAGAUUGAGUCAAAAAAAUGAUUUUUUUUUUAAUAUCGUUUUAUUUUAUAUCUUGCUAUUAUAUUUGAGAAAUUUACUAGUAACAGGUUUUUUAAAGUCAAAUUUAUUUAUUUAUUUUUUAAAAAAACUCGAUAUUCGGUGCAAGGAUCUACUAAUUCGAGAGAACAAGUCCUACCGUCCACUUUGGGAGGGUUCGUUUAAAGUCAGAGCAUUAGCAAAACUCUAUAUGGACUUGCCCGUCAGAAUUGACAUUAGAGGGAAUCUGAAACUUUGAAAUAAACACACUCCAAGAUCCGAAACCAACCAUUAUAUCAACCCUAAAUAGGUUAAAGUCAAAUUUAUUUUAUAGAUGGACUGAAGCACAUAAAUGGACUUGUCAUCUGAGAGAAAACCGACAUUUAGAGUAAAAGUCUACGCCAGUAUUUUUUUUUUGUGAAUAGACGAAAUGGCAAAGUCAUUGUAAACUCACACACACAAUUGGAGGUACCGGGGUUCGAACCCCGAUCAUAGAAUCCGGCCUAACAAUUUCGGCAUUUUACCAAUUGAGCUAGAACUUGUUGAUUCUAUUCCAAUAUUUAUUUUAGGGAAAAGGUCUAUUCUAAUUAUUAUCUGUAUUAAAUGAGUCCUGAGAUUGAGGUUUAUUUGUCAAAUAAUAAAUGUGCUAUUAUUUAACCUUCCGUGUUUUAGUGGGUAAGAGACAUUUGCGAAGUUCGACAUGGAGGUAAGUAAAACCUGACCGAAAACUGUUUUAUAUAAUUUGUUAUUUUGUGGAGUUCAUUUGACUAAGUUCUACUUUUUAAUUAAAGUAGAGAGGUAGUUGGGUCAAUGUCAUCUCUAUUUCUUAAAAGGAAUUGACUAUGCACAAAUUAGAGAUUGGUGCAGUCAAGUUAUGGCACUCUAUUUUUUCAAUAAAAUUUGAGAACUUUAUUUAGAGAUAGAUACAUG
This 4814-nucleotide long non-coding RNA is filed under the name Medicago truncatula (barrel medic). RNAcentral describes it as "long non-coding RNA (MTRU_LNC003885)". The record is from RNAcentral. Lineage: Eukaryota; Viridiplantae; Streptophyta; Magnoliopsida; Fabales; Fabaceae.